UUAACCAAUAAAUUCUCAUUAUUUUAACAAUUAAUUUCAUAAAUUUAAGUAUUCAUUCAACAACACAAAACUUAUGUUCAUGCAAAAGUACCCAAAAUUUGGGUUUUUUACUAAAGAAGUAUAAAAAAAUUAAAAAAUUUUAAAAUAAUAUACCUAAAAAUCUAAUUACGAAAAUGGUAUGGUCAGGGUGGUCACACCACUCUGACAGGCGGCACCACCUUGAUGUGAC
Molecule: long non-coding RNA, 229 nt
Filed under: Gossypium barbadense (sea-island cotton)
Lineage: Eukaryota; Viridiplantae; Streptophyta; Magnoliopsida; Malvales; Malvaceae
Description: long non-coding RNA (GBAR_LNC004307)
Source: RNAcentral